Danio aesculapii is the source of this 298-nucleotide long non-coding RNA. RefSeq lists it as uncharacterized. Lineage: Eukaryota; Metazoa; Chordata; Actinopteri; Cypriniformes; Danionidae. The record is from RefSeq and is a predicted model, not a curated record. The transcript is spliced from 3 exons.
UUUAAAUACAUCAUUUACAGAUGACAGCUUAGCGACAGACUCUUAAUGUGUUUAAACAGCACAUAUUCCAGCUCAACAGCAGAUUAAAGCAGCAGAAUCUGCGAUCAAGUGCAGGAAUCGACUGAAGAGACUCACUUGUUGUGUUUGGACUGUACAGCCAAGAGAAACGGAGCUCUGGGACAUUUGACAGCCAUGGACUGUAAGGACGGACGUCUGCUGCUGGACAGGGUCCCUCUUGUGGUCAUCAAGUGUAUCAAUCUUCAAGCAGAAGUGGCUGUCUGCUUUGCUCUGCUGCAGG